CUGAGCUGUGAUGGGGAGAAGACAUUGUGUCUUCGAGUCGUUGAUUUCACACUGCCGAGAAAAGCCUCUAGAUAGAAAAUAGGUGCCCGUACCGCAAACCGACACAGGUAGUCAAGAUGAGAAUUCUAAGGUGAGCGAGCGAACUCUCGUUAAGGAACUCGGCAAAAUGACCCCGUAACUUCGGGAGAAGGGGUGCUCUUUAGGGUUAACGCCCAGAAGAGCCGCAGUGAAUAGGCCCAAGCGACUGUUUAUCAAAAACACAGGUCUCUGCUAAACCGUAAGGUGAUGUAUAGGGGCUGACGCCUGCCCGGUGCUGGAAGGUUAAGAGGAGUGGUUAGCUUCUGCGAAGCUACGAAUCGAAGCCCCAGUAAACGGCGGCCGUAACUAUAACGGUCCUAAGGUAGCGAAAUUCCUUGUCGGGUAAGUUCCGACCCGCACGAAAGGCGUAACGAUUUGGGCACUGUCUCAACGAGAGACUCGGUGAAAUCAUAGUACCUGUGAAGAUGCAGGUUACCCGCGACAGGACGGAAAGACCCCGUGGAGCUUUACUGUAGCCUGAUAUUGAAAUUCGGCACAGCUUGUACAGGAUAGGUAGGAGCCUUUGAAACGUGAGCGCUAGCUUACGUGGAGGCGCUGGUGGGAUACUACCCUAGCUGUGUUGGCUUUCUAACCCGCACCACUUAUCGUGGUGGGAGACAGUGUCAGGCGGGCAGUUUGACUGGGGCGGUCGCCUCCUAAAAGGUAACGGAGGCGCUCAAAGGUUCCCUCAGAAUGGUUGGAAAUCAUUCAUAGAGUGUAAAGGCAUAAGGGAGCUUGACUGCGAGACCUACAAGUCGAGCAGGGUCGAAAGACGGACUUAGUGAUCCGGUGGUUCCGCAUGGAAGGGCCAUCGCUCAACGGAUAAAAGCUACCCCGGGGAUAACAGGCUUAUCUCCCCCAAGAGUUCACAUCGACGGGGAGGUUUGGCACCUCGAUGUCGGCUCAUCGCAUCCUGGGGCUGUAGUCGGUCCCAAGGGUUGGGCUGUUCGCCCAUUAAAGCGGUACGCGAGCUGGGUUCAGAACGUCGUGAGACAGUUCGGUCCCUAUCCGUCGUGGGCGUAGGAAAUUUGAGAGGAGCUGUCCUUAGUACGAGAGGACCGGGAUGGACAUACCUCUGGUGUACCAGUUGUCGUGCCAACGGCAUAGCUGGGUAGCUAUGUGUGGACGGGAUAAGUGCUGAAAGCAUCUAAGCAUGAAGCCCCCCUCAAGAUGAGAUUUCCCAACUUCGGUUAUAAGAUCCCUCAAAGAUGAUGAGGUUAAUAGGUUCGAGGUGGAAGCAUGGUGACAUGUGGAGCUGACGAAUACUAAUCGAUCGAAGACUUAAUCAA
RNAcentral lists this ribosomal RNA (1367 nucleotides) under Staphylococcus aureus. RNAcentral's name for it is "partial 23S ribosomal RNA". It matches the Rfam family "Bacterial large subunit ribosomal RNA", at positions 1556 to 2925 of the family's 2925-position model. The record is from RNAcentral. Lineage: Bacteria; Bacillati; Bacillota; Bacilli; Caryophanales; Staphylococcaceae.